GAUGAACGCUGGCGGCGUGCCUAAUACAUGCAAGCCGAGCGAACAGACGAGGAGCUUGCUCCUCUGACGUUAGAGGCGGACGGGUGAGUAACACGUGGAUAAACUACCUAUAAGACUGGGAUAACUUCGGGAAACCGGAGCUAAUACCGGAUAAUAUAUUGAACCGCAUGGUUCAUUAGUGAAAGACGGUUUUGCUGUCCCUUAUAGAUGGAUCCGCGCCGCAUUAGCUAGUUGGUAAGGUAACGGCUUACCAAGGCAACGAUGCGUAGCCGACCUGAGAGGGUGAUCGGCCACACUGGAACUGAGACACGGUCCAGACUCCUACGGGAGGCAGCAGUAGGGAAUCUUCCGCAAUGGGCGAAAGCCUGACGGAGCAACGCCGCGUGAGUGAUGAAGGUCUUCGGAUCGUAAAACUCUGUUAUUAGGGAAGAACAAAUGUGUAAGUAACUAUGCACGUCUUGACGGUACCUAAUCAGAAAGCCACGGCUAACUACGUG
Molecule: ribosomal RNA, 497 nt
Filed under: uncultured bacterium
Lineage: Bacteria
Description: partial 16S ribosomal RNA
Rfam family: Bacterial small subunit ribosomal RNA
Source: RNAcentral